CAGCAGCCGCGGUAAUACGUAGGGUGCGAGCGUUAAUCGGAAUUACUGGGCGUAGAGCGUGCGCAGGCGGUUGUGUAAGACAGGUGUGAAAUCCCCGGGCUUAACCUGGGAACUGCGCUUGUGACUGCACAGCUAGAGUAUGGCAGAGGGGGGUGGAAUUCCACGUGUAGCAGUGAAAUGCGUAGAGAUGUGGAGGAACACCGAUGGCGAAGGCAGCCCCCUGGGCCAAUACUGACGCUCAUGCACGAAAGCGUGGGGAGCAAACAGGAUUAGAUACCCGCGUAGUCCCUGUCUCUUAUAC
RNAcentral lists this ribosomal RNA (301 nucleotides) under uncultured bacterium. Its description in RNAcentral is "partial 16S ribosomal RNA". It matches the Rfam family "Bacterial small subunit ribosomal RNA", at positions 509 to 807 of the family's 1533-position model. The record is from RNAcentral.